This is a long non-coding RNA of Photinus pyralis (common eastern firefly), 642 nucleotides long. RefSeq lists it as uncharacterized. The transcript has 2 exons. Lineage: Eukaryota; Metazoa; Arthropoda; Insecta; Coleoptera; Lampyridae. The record is from RefSeq and is a predicted model, not a curated record.
UUAUUUCCGUACCUGCCCGUUUUAAUGUUGUAUAUUCCUAUUAUUGGUCUAAAAGCCAAUUUCCGCUUUAGAUAACCUAUGUAAUUUGAUACCGUAACCAUAUAUGGUAUUGUAAGCUUCGAUUGACCGCGUUAUUGGUUGGGGCAAAACUUCGUUGUUUCAUUGGGGCCGGAAAUGGAAAAAUUCAGCGUGUAUUACUUGCUAACCCGAAGAGAACGGUCGUGCGGUUCAUCCUGAUUUAAGUGCUAAUUUAGUUCCUGUUCAUUUGUUUUCAACAAUUUGGCGAAAGCAUCUUUAAAAACAAGUGAACCAUCAUUGUACCUGCCAUUUCUUUUUGGGCAUGGUAACCAUUUAUUCCGAAAGGAGUUCUUCUAAAGGAACGUAAGCAUAAUUGGGACCAUUCUGACAACGAUCGUAGGAUAACUUCCAUUCACUUUCGUACGUUCACGAAGCUCUUUUAUUUUCCGUUGACUCUCUCCAUGUAGAGGUUCGCAUUUAUUCUUGUGUAAAAACGUACCACCCAUUAGUUUAUUAUUUUAGAGUUCACGUAUUGGGGCCAAGAACUACGAUCAGACUGUUUACCUGUGAAACGAAACUAUAGACCACAUUGUGUUGCGGGUAAGGGGGCAUAGGAAAGUAAAU